RNAcentral lists this ribosomal RNA (252 nucleotides) under uncultured bacterium. Its description in RNAcentral is "partial 16S ribosomal RNA". It matches the Rfam family "Bacterial small subunit ribosomal RNA", at positions 80 to 334 of the family's 1533-position model. The record is from RNAcentral.
AACCAAAGCUGGCGACCGGCGCACGGGUGAGUAACACGUAUCCAACCUGCCUCAUACUCGGGGAUAGCCUUCGAAAGAAAGAUUAAUAUCCGAUAGCAUAUAUUUCCCGCAUGGGUUUUAUAUUAAAGAAAUUCGGUAUGAGAUGGGGAUGCGUUCCAUUAGUUUGUUGGGGGGGUAACGGCCCACCAAGACUACGAUGGAUAGGGGUUCUGAGAGGAAGGUCCCCCACAUUGGAACUGAGACACGGUCCAA